Molecule: long non-coding RNA, 1084 nt
Filed under: Apteryx owenii (little spotted kiwi)
Lineage: Eukaryota; Metazoa; Chordata; Aves; Apterygiformes; Apterygidae
Description: lncRNA (ENSAOWG00000003491.1)
Source: RNAcentral
GUUAAUGAAUACUCAGGAAGAUAUGGAUAUACUUUCUCUCUUUUUUAGACGUGAAUCCAAAGCAUAGAGCGGGACUCAGUUGCUGACCCGUUCAUGUUCAACACCCGUUGCAGUGCCUUAGGUUGCCUCAGGCAUCUGCAUUAGGCUGGCAGAUAUGAUGCAGACCUGAGGGAGAACAGACAGCUUUCUGGAGUAGGUGCUGGAUGACAGACAGGGAGCAUUCACAGAGUCUAAAAUGACAUUACAUAGCUAUCUUUGAGCAAUUAAAUCCUCCUUUACUUUUCCUCCUUCACUUUAUCUAUGGUUACGUGGAAUUUCUUUGGUAAGAUCUGCAAUAGAAUUUGGGAUUUUUCUAGUUCUUCAGUGCCAUGCUCAAAGUACUAGGUGGUCUCUGCAAUCCAUCUUGAUAGAGCUGUGUCAUGUAGCAGAAAUACUCUCGCAGUCACGUCGUAGAAACGUAAAUUAAUAAUGGAAACUUUUUCCAGUGCUGAAUAAAAACAAACAGUAAGUGUCAAGCAUUAAUUAACAAUGUAAUGAGAAUAUAAUGAGACUUCGGUUCAGGCAUGUGCUUUUUUUUAACAGAAUGUCUUUUCUUUGUUGUAUUGCAGAAGAAGAAAUGGUGACUGAGUUGUACAGAAGAACCAGGACAAUCCAAAAAGGGCAGGUGGCUGCUGGGAAGCUACUACAGGAAAGGAGUUUACUAACGUGUUCAAGACCUGGAAUUAUGCAGUGGAGCAGUAUAUUUUAGAAACUAUGGAGAAAGUUCAGAACAACAUGGUUAAAAGUCAGCCAUGUGUUUCAGUUGUGAUUGCUGUCACUGUAGAGGCAUGUAGGUUGUCUCCUUUGCCUAAUAUAAAAAAUAUGUAUGUAUAAUAAUACUUUUUUAAUGCUUUCCAUCUGGGGAUUUCAAAGAUACUUUGCACACUUUUGUAUUCAUGACACCUUGUUUGACUAUUAUUCUGUUUUAUGGAUGGAGAUUCCAGUGCAUGGACUUGUUAAAGUACAGUUCUGAUGCAAAAAAUUCUCAGAAUGGCUUAUUAUUUACUGCCAAAAAUAAAGUUUCGCUAUUCUUCUGUCUUGCUCA